GCAUGUGGCUCAGUGGUACAACAUCUACUUGGCAUGCACAAGGUCCCAGGUUCAAACCCUAGCGUCUCCA
This 70-nucleotide transfer RNA is filed under the name Sphaerodactylus townsendi. RNAcentral describes it as "tRNA-Ala". Lineage: Eukaryota; Metazoa; Chordata; Lepidosauria; Squamata; Sphaerodactylidae. The record is from RNAcentral.